UCCUCUUAAGUUCCCUUUUGGAAUCAAAUUAGAUUAGUUGCAUUUAAUUAAAUUAAAUAGUUCAAUUAAAUUAGUUAGAUUUGAGUGACCAUCCGGAAUGGUGUAGAUUUGGUGAUCAGUACGGACACUCCUGAUGAGAAGGGAGAACAUGUAUUGUAGUAACACAAGCCCACCCAAGGGCAGGUGAGCACCAACACCUAACUUCCCUGUAGGCAGGUCUUGUGCAAUAAAUAUGAUUUUGGCACUGGAUUUUUUAUCAUAUCCAUGACUUUUGACAUUGUCAUUUAACACCACGUUCCAUGUAACAGUUUUGUACACAUCGCCCUAGGGUAUAAUUGUGCAUUAGGUUCUCUCUUUACCAUGUCUGACACUUACCUGACUCUUACAAGGAGACAGCUCAUACUUAAAAAUGUUGCCACUUGGGUAAGAAACCCAAACCACCAUACAUGGGUAAAGCUAUGACCUGGGCUCAGAGUGAGUUUUUUUUUGGGCUACAGGCUGCUUAUAGGCAUAACCCUUUUUGCAUGAGGGCAUGUCUGAGAACACUUACCUGACUCUUAAAAGGAGACAGCUAAUACUUGUUCUAUCAUUUGGGACCCUGUUGGACACCGGAUCACACCUAUUUGAUUAGACUUGUUAGCCAUGUAAUUUUCUAUAUAGACAUCGGAGGGCUGCAGCUCUACUACAUGUGCAACACAGUUUCUGUCAUCAUGUGCCAGUCCAGCAACAAGGAAGAUGGGGGUGUCACUUUUUUAUGCUUAGGGAGCAGCCCUCAAAAUGCAGUUCUGAGUAACAGAUCAUUAUAAAAAUCAGGGACACUUCUAAAUAUAAGUGUAUGGGCUGCAUUGAUUGCAAACAUAUUAUAAUUAAAUAUAAUCAGUGCAGCCUGAAUAGCUAUGAGAUUUCCUGAGGUUUCACAUGAUAUAAAAAUAGUAGAGUUCCAAUCCUACAGUUAAUUAUUCCUUUGGUUUUUCCAGCUCAGCUGAAGUAAAUGCUUGUGGUGAUGACUGGCCCCAAAGCUGGCCUGAUGUGGCUUUCACUAUGCUGCCCCCUCACCCCUUUGUGUUACAUUUACAGAGCUUAUCUGCUGACGUUCUGUUUCCCCAAGUCAAAUGGCUGCAUAGUAACCCUACACGGACAGGUAUAAACUUUGUACACACAGGCAUCUUCUUAUCAGCCCAAUGAAUAUUGUUUUGUGAAUUUUAUCCUUCACUGAUAUUGUUUCAGGGGUUGAAGUAAGGGAAGACAAGAGCCAGUUUGCUCAUGUGCAUUAUAGUUCCUAAGGUGUGGCACCUGACAAGCCAGACUAUGUAGGGAAAAUUAGUUCUGUUCCUCAAAUAUGGCUACUGGAUUUUGUAAUAUCCCUUUGCACUGAUUUGUUUUGUUCAUUUUUAAUAGGAUUACUCUUACUUGUGAACGAUGAAGUAUCAGUAUUCUAUUAAACUCUGGUUUUGGGUUUAUAUUAUUACUGAUUUUUUUCCUUUCCCUCCAGCUUUGUGAUGUGUUUUCCAGCGGGUGCACUUAGUAUACAUGACAUGAUAGGGAAUGGUGCAAGAAUAAGCAUUAUACACAGAAUCUCCAGUCUGUUAGCCCAGGGCCUUUUCUUACCCAUCAUCCCAGUAGGACUUAAAAUGCUGAAUAGUCAAAGUCCUGAAAGGCUUCUUCGAUCUCUCUCGCCAUUUCAGCAGGGGGUCCUUUGGGCUGCGUCAGAUUUGCCGGCAGCAUAACUGGCCAUUGGUGCUUUUUGCUUACCUUCCCGAGGAGCAUUUCAUAUACGAUUACACCAAGAGCCCACCAGUCGACGGCUCUUGUAUACUCCUCCUCCAUCACUACUUCCGGUGCCAUAUAAGCGGGACUCCCGACCAUGGUGUUGGUGCGGUCUCCGUAUCCGAUGCCUUGAUUAAAAAGACAAAUUGUAAGUGUUUUUUAUGAAGGUGUUUAGGCCAGAGUAUGCCCUAAAUGAGUCCCCUUUUCUCUGGGUAAAUAUACAAGGCCCUCCUUACCGGUUUUGCCCAUUCCAAAAUCUGCAACUUUUAUGUAUCCAUCUUCGUCCAUUAGGAGAUUUCCCGGUUUUAAAUCUCUGUUUUGAAACAAAAGUAAGAUAUUAUGAUACAUUGAAACUGCUGUAAUAAGCCAAGUACAACAAAUCCUUUAUUCCCUCAGAUGUCCAAUUAGUGGCUUUCAACCUGAAGCUGUCCUGCUACUAAAUUGCACAAGCUACAAACCCCAGGUUGUACUCACUACUAAAGCACUCUGGUUUUGGAAUAUAAUCCUUGGGGCCCUGGAAUAUUUCAUCUUCAUUCACUGGAACAUCGCUAUUGGGAUUGGUUAAUUGAGGCUGUUGUAGCUCAGGGUUGACAGAUUCUGCCUCUUCAGCUUCUUCAGCUGCAGGUAUGAAACCGAAGAACAGCUUUAUAUUUCCAUCUGCCUUACCUCAGUAUGCCGGUGCCGACAUGAGAUGCCACACACUUUGGCGCCCAUCUUGAAACUCCUGUAGAAGAAAAGAAAGGCUGCUUGCAACUGCCUGGUGGAGGAAUCAUUGGUCAUCAAGGUUUCAGAUUUUGGUGUGGCCAGAUAUCACUGCAGAAAUUUCGGCCUGGCACCAGCUUUAUACAAGUUACUUUGUUACUUUUCAGAGCCCCACCCUGAACACAUAAUGCCAUUACAUGGUGUACAUGGUUAGUUUAUUGCAAGGUGAAUAUUGUAUAACCACAUGUAUUUACUGAGUCUCUGAUACAGGGUCAAAUUGGGCCGGCGGGGCACCAGAAAAAAACCCGGUGGGCCCCAGGCUCUUGUGGGCUCCGCCGGGCCCAGGUCCACACCCACAAGUGGCUCUUAAUGGUGCGACCCCCUUUGUCGGAGGUCGUGGAAGAAAACUUUGUGCAUGCACACAGAUGCAGCACUGCAAGGAGGUCCGGAGGGGGCCCUGGGGCAGUAGUCGCGGUGGGCCCCGGGCCCCCCAGUCCGACCCUGGUCUGAUACAUCCAGACACAAAUAAGCACAGUAAGAGAAUGUAAACUUUGCAAUAAACCUGUUUUAUCCCUUUG
Long non-coding RNA from Xenopus laevis (African clawed frog), 3047 nucleotides. RefSeq lists it as uncharacterized. The record is from RefSeq and is a predicted model, not a curated record. NCBI's taxonomy places the organism in Eukaryota, Metazoa, Chordata, Amphibia, Anura, Pipidae. The transcript has 8 exons.